GAUGAAGAACGCAGCGAAACGCGAUAUGUAAUGUGAAUUGCAGAAUUCAGUGAAUCAUCGAAUCUUUGAACGCACAUGGCGCCUUCCAGUAUCCUGGGAGGCAUGCCUGUCCGAGCGUCGUUUCAACCCUCGAGCCCCCGUGGCCCGGCGUUGGGGAUCUGCCCAGGCAGUCCCCGAAAACCAGUGGCGGACCCGUUACAGGCCCUUCCCUUGCGUAGUAGCAUUCGCCUCGCAUCGGGAGCCGGCGGGCUUCCAGCCUCUAAACCCCCAUCAAGUCCGCCCCGGCGGCACCAAGGUUGACCUCGGAUCAGGUAGGUAUACCCGCUGAACUUAAGCAUAUCAAUAAGCGGAGGA
RNAcentral lists this unclassified non-coding RNA (354 nucleotides) under soil metagenome. RNAcentral's name for it is "partial contains 5.8S ribosomal RNA, internal transcribed spacer 2, and large subunit ribosomal RNA". The stretch from base 1 to 120 matches the Rfam family "5.8S ribosomal RNA", at positions 35 to 154 of the family's 154-position model. The record is from RNAcentral.